AGAGAAAGAAGCGUCAGGGCCGCCACCGGGACCGCGCAGAACGGGGCAGGGGUGGCGGCGCCGCGGGCAGCGGCACUUACCGGGUUGAGGAGGGCGAGGAGGAGGGCUACGGCGAAGCUGGCAGGGGCCAUCCCGAGGCGGUCGUCGGCUUGUGGGCGGCGCGGCGUCGAGCAGGCAGCGGUGUCGGGUUGUCCGGCGGAGGGGCGGCGAGAUGCUCUCUAUGAAUAGAGAGAGUGCCUGUUUACUCAGAAAUAUUUGGCACGGCGGAUGGAGUCUGAAGUGUGGAAGAAGUGGCUAUUAUUUUCCCACUGCCUGUGUGCAGCUGUCAUUUCUAAGUGACACGUUCCUUGCACAUCCCGGCUUCCCAACCUGGCUGAUGGUCCGCCCUGGGGCUGCAACAAGAAGAGACUAGGAUGCCACUGCACUCAGCCAAAACCUUAACAUUGUGGCUGCCACAGGGGGGAGUAGAAGUUUGCAAAGGACUGUGCUGCCCAAGAAGACACGGAUGCGGGUGGUGUAUUCCAGUGUAUGCAUUCCUGCUGGUAUGUACCCGAAAAGGGAGGACCACGUUCCCAGGGAGAGGGUUUGUAGCCAUGGAUGAUCAGGAAACAUCUUGGUGAAUUACAGACAAUAAGAAAAGAUGAAGGCAGAAGAGAUAGUUUGCUGAUUUAAAAAAAAUACAUAUUCUAAGAAGGAAAUUGAAGUAUCUUGAGUCUACAACAGGUUAAUGAUUGGUCCAGAUGCACAUACAUGAGCACCAGUGUUGUUUUCACUGAGAACAGAGCUGUCAUGUUGCUUUGGUUGUGAGUGGAAAGUCACCAGAGAGUCCCUUUGACGUGAAGCUCUGAUUUGUGACUGUGUCCAGAAGCAAUGAACGCUGAAGGAACAGCCACCAACGUGCUGGGACUGGCUGCCCUGCCAUGUCUGGGAUUACUUUGCUGCAACAUGCUGUUGCUCAGUGCAAGAACAAGGCACUUCCAAGAAGUGAGCCUUGGGUGGGGAUGUGCAGGUCACUUCUCACUGCUGCCUCUGCUUCCUCUGAUUAUACUGUAACUCAUGGUAAACAUCUAGGCAUGACAACCUAAAGAUAGUAAAUUUUCAAGUUAGAGUCAGAACGCUUUCUGAACUUUAGAUACCUCUGAAAGCCUUGUAGACACCUGGCAAUGAGCCACUUCUUUGCCUGCAAAAGCUUGGUGAAACUGGAAAUCUAGCUAUCUAACACACUCUGUUUUAUGAGGUGAAAGUUAAUAAAAUAUUUUACUCUUUUCUUCAACCAAGGCAAGCUGAGAUGCACAAAAAUAAGUGCAUGCCAGUCCACUGCACAAGGAAGAAAAGUGUCUAGCAUUGUGUUCCUCGUUGCAGAAAGGCAGGAGAGCCAGAAAGUUUGUCACCAGGAUCCCUCACACGUGCUCUGAAGCUGCAACUGAAAUUUGUAAGCUACACAUAUGUAUUGCACAACUUCUGAAGACAGGUCCUCCAGAUGAUGUAAACCAAGUGAGUGACACAUGCUGAGGACACCAAUGUACAUUUACCUUUUUACACCUGAGAAGCCAGCUGGUCUGAACUGCCAUCACAGAAGCUGUGAAAGUUAGCCUGGGCUGUAUGCUGUGCUGUUCUGCUUGUCGAGAGCCAAACUAGGCUGUUUAAAUAACGCUUGUGAAUCUCUACACUGCCCUGCAUUCAUGGCCGAAACUGCACUAAGACACAUAUGCCUCAUUUUUUAAAUUGGCUUAGGUUCCAAAACACAAGGGUGCCUUAUAAAAUUUUCUGGCUUCCUGAUGUUCCUCUCCUCCUUGAACUCCCCUCCUCAGGUUUAGCUUCCCUCCUUCAAGCCCAGCAUUGCGCCCAAGCAAACACUCUGGUUAGAUCUAUGUGGGCAAGUGAAGGUGUCUGCCUCCAAUGGCAGCUUUCUGGUGGAUGUCGAGCAGCUGUUCCCCAUGUCCCAAAGGAUGUGACAGUUGGUGUGCAUGCACAAAAAUAUAUUGUUUCUCCUGUCAGAAGAAAAUACGGAAAGCUUAUAACUUAAGGAAAAAGGGAUCUAAGGGAGAUAAGAGUGUAAGAGACAUUGCUGCAGUUCUAUAUUUGAAAUCGGUUACGUAUAUGUGUGGUAACCCAAAUGAUGGGUGGACUGCACUUUUGCAUUACCAUAAUUACAUUUCCUUUCAUAGCAAGGGUUAGGGAUGCAUCCAGACAUUGCAGAACACAUCAGUAGAUUUAGUGUGGCUUACUCAGUUUCCAUUUAUCAGACUAUGUCCCAAUUAUGUUACAUUUAGGAAACAGAAUAAUUUUCUGGUUAUAGCACACAAAAUUUGUGGCAUUCUAAUCCUAGUCACCUUGCUGUAUGACCUUGGAAAAGUCGUUUUACUUUUCUUUGAUGGUAAAGAAUUAACUCACCCCGUGGAUGGAUUUUAAUACCAUGCUAAGUUUAAAAAAAAUCUGAAGCUAAAGUUAGUAUUCUAAAUCCAUAUUUAGGGACUAAAUGAGGUGAUUUGUUUUCCACGAUCCUGAGCACCCAGUAACUGUCUGCCACCAAGGCCAACUAGAGAUUUUGGGUCUUCAGCAGUCCGAAACAUGAAGCAAGAGUGAAAGCAGCUGCUUGUGUGAAGAUGAAGAGAAGCUCACUGAUGUGGUGUGGUGAGUCAGGGACAGCCGUCUGUCUUUCCUGGGUGGUUGUCACAGUGACAGCAGUGGGGAGAUGUAGGUGGGAUUAAUCUUGCUAAUUUUACCAUCUAUAAGUGGGAUGUCUGCCUUAGGCUGGUUGUUCAAGAUCUUUCCAGUGGUCGCCUUGGUUCAGUGGAUCUGGAGCAGCUCUCAGUGGGGACAGAUGAACAACCCCCAAUGUGUCAUCCUGCCCGUCUAUCUGGAGGUGCGAUGUAUUAUCCUCCAGAGAUACUCAUCUCUGUCCAUUCAGUAAAGCGCUUCACAAAUGCUUAGACAGCUUCCUUGGGCUCUGCUGACUGUGAAGUGAGCGAGUGACUUACGGUGUGUUAGGUAAGUCCAAGAGUGUGGCAGAAUUGCUUAUAGCAGUGGAGAGCAAUGAAACCCCAUAACAGGCCUAAGGAGUUUGGUUAUGAAAGUUAUGGACAAGUGAAAGUGGAGAGAAAUAGUUGAGUCUUGCAAGGAAAAGGAAAUAUAAACCUGACUGUAGUAGUUGAAAACCUAUUCCGUAUUGAUGGCAUGGUUUGUUUCCACUGGAGAGCUUUGUUCUUCUGGGCAGUGUUUGAGGAGGAAGAUUAAUUUUCCCACGGGAGAAAUAAGCUUUGAAUAAGUCAGCUAAAAUGGAUUGUUAUGUGCACCACACAUCUAUAGGAGAAACAGAAGACGUUUACAUGCUCCCUGAGGAGGAACCAUGACAAGCAGACAAUUAACCAAUUCCCCUGGAUCCCCAGAUUUAAAGAACCACGUAAUGGCUUAAUUGAGUUGAGUUGCUGAGAGUGCGGCACUGCACUGAGAUUCGUGCUGUGAAGUGCGCUAUUCCCAGAGGCAUCCAUCAGGUUUUAAAGAAUUGACUUUCCAUGCUAAUUGACCCAGAUGUGCUUGAUUUUACCUCACAAUCUCCACUUCAUUCAAUUACUGGUAAAGAGAAGGGAAUGAGAAAAAAGGACUUCAUUUGUCUCAUGUACUAUAUUAAAAGGAAGCUUUCCUCAAGCAACAUUUUGUAGUGCUGAACAAAUUGUUCAGCUUGAACUGGAGUGGCAUUUAUUCAAUUUUUAUUUUUUUUUUUUUUUUUUUUUUUUAUUUCCCGAAUGACUGAGCACGUAUUUUGCAAGGUCUAGAGAAUGUUCAUUAAGCCACUCUGCUUGGCAAAGGAAGCACAGGCAUCAUCACUAGAAGAAUGAGGACAGUACAGAUGGAUGGAUGAUGUCUGACCUGUCUGACCAGGCAGGGCUGAGCAGCACAGCGUGGGGGCUGAGCUCUCUCAUGGCUUGGUCCACCUGAAUGAUCAAUAAAUGAAUAAAUGAAAAAAAAAAUAAAUCACAGUUUAACUAUUUUUAUCUUCAAAAAGGCUAGGAGCCAAGUUUGAGGAAUAGGCUUUGCAAUGUGAAUUAGCAGCUGAACUCUUCCAUGUACUGGGCCAGUAGGCACCUCAUUUUGGCAAACUAUGGUUACCUUUUAUGUGUGUGUAAACAUCCCUAGAGCACGUAGAGUAAUUAGUGUAAGACUGAGGUUCCCAGUGUGUUCUGUGUGUGCAGAACCCCGGCUUUUGUUCAUUGUCAGUUCACAAGCCUUAUUUAAUUUACAAAUCAAGUAUCUUUGUGUGGUAGGGCCUGAGUCCACCUCUCUAGAUACAUUCCUGGAACACCACAGGAGGCUUUCUUAGGUAAGGAAGCUAUUCUCUACCUGGUUAGUGGUUUCAAGCUUACCUCGAACAGCACCAGCAAGAGUCAUGUCAAGGAGCUUUUGUUCAUUCACAUUCAAACAGGCUGUAUACUACUGAAAUUAGAGGAGUUAAUCUGAGUUUGCACCAUUGUUAGGGAAGCAGAAUUUAGCCCCUAAUGCUUGUGACUAGCCAUAUUUUGUACCAACCAGUCAAGUUAUGGAGCUCUGCUGUGAAAGGAACAUAUUCAAGGAGUUUACUUCUUUGACAAAAUUUGUAUGCCAUAUAUGGUCAGUUUGUGUUUUUGUUUUUUUUUUUUUUUUGACUUAAGAAGGCUCUCCUCCAAACUGCUGAAUCAUAUUGCAACCCUAGACCUGGUGAUUUUUCAGAAUUUGAAUCAUAGCUGAGCUCUCUAGAUAUCAAGCUGUGAAGCCACACGUGGGCUCAGCAGUUUGGCAGCCACUGAGUACAGCUUUGGCAGUAUUGUAUUCACAGUCCAGAUGUUGGAUGGUUCAGCCACAGUGUACAGCAUGAUAGAAUAGAGCAACAACGUGACUGAAAAUUACUGUUUACUCUUCUUAAUUUAAAUACCGUGGUUUGUACUGUUCUUGAUGAUUUAGCCUGGAUAUUAUGAACCAGUCUGCUUUAGAUCUGUAUCCCAUCCUAGAAGGAAGUCUCACAUAACAACCUGACAUGCAGUGUGAAACCUCUUCUGGAGGUUUUGUUCUUGCAUUCUUCCUGCCAAGGUCCCCUGUGAGAAGCUGUUCCAGUUAGGCCCACUUAUGAAGUCAUUUAGUGAUAUAUUCAGGAUUAAGAAAAAGCAUUACAGAAUCAUAGAAUAAUUGGGUUUGGAAGGGACCUUCAAAGCUCCUCUAGUCCAACCCACCUGCAAUGAGCAGGAACAUCUUCAACUAGAUCAGGUUGCUCAGUGCCCUAUCCAGACUGGCCUGGAAUGUUCCCAGGGAUGGGACAUCUACCACCUCUCUGGGCAACCUGGGCCAGUGUUUCUCCACCCUCACUGUAAAAAAUUUUUUCCUCAUGUCUAGCCUGAAUCUCCCUUCUAUUAGUUUAAAACCAUUACCCCUGUUGCAACACACCCUUCUAAAAAGUCUGUCCCCAUCUUUCUUAUAGGCCCCUUUUAAGUACCGAAAGGCUGCGAUAAGGUCUCCCUGGAGCUUUCUCUUCUCCAGGCCGAACAACCCCAACUGUCUAAGCCUGUCCUCAUAGGAGACGUGCUCCAGCCUUCUGAUUAUUUUUGUUGCCCUCCUUUGGACACUCUCCAACAGGUACAUGUUGUUCCUGUACUGAGGGCUCCAGAGCUGGAUGCAGGACUCCAGGUGGGUUCUCAUCAGAUCAGAGCAGAGGGGCAGAAUCACCUCCCUCGACCCACUGGCCACACUCCUUUUGACGUAGUCCAAGCUCCUUUUGAUGCAGCCCAAUAGUCCUGUGGCACUAGAAAUAAGAAAGUUAGGGUGGUAUCUGAGAUUUGUAAAUCAUGCUUUGCCUUAAUGUUCUGCUGUGCCCUUACAAGCUGCAGUGAUUAAUGCCUUAGCAAUAAUUAAGAAAGAUAGAGACAAUAUCUGUUAAAGCAGGAUUCUUCUUCAAAGCUGUGCUUCUGCAGACUCACUCACUUGUUGAGCUCCUUCCUGUAUGUGCUUCAUUUUAAAUAAUGUCCUAUAUUCAAGCAGUUGUUUUGACCAUGCUUGUGCACAUGAUAUGAGAAACUAAGGAGAGUCUUGACAGUUCAGUUUGUAUAUCAAUACUUCUUUGUGAGUAAAAUUCUUAGCCUGUCAAAAAAGCUACUGUUGUUUUGCAGGGCAUUUAAAAGAAAGAUCUUUAUUUUUUCACAGUGAGCACUAAAACUGAAAAGGAAUAAACAAUGAAUCACCUAGGACAAAUGAUUUUUUUAUGUCUGCAGAAAACACACUGACAAAAUUUUGGGUCUUUUUUUUUUUUUUUUUUUUGGAGAAUGACUGUGAGACACAUAGCAGCAAAUUGUUCAUUGGUUUGACCUUAUUUAUUUCAGCUAAAUCCCAAACUGGAGAACUAGACAGAAAUAAAAAUAGGGAACAUGUAUAAAGAGCACUUAUACAAUGCAAGAAGGUUCCUGUGAAAUUGUGAUUACUGAAGUUUCAUCCUUCAGGCAGGACUGAUGAUUCCCCUGUUGUGUUAAAACUGCAUCUUGAAGCUAAUAUAUCUGACAGUUUCCUUCCCUUGCCAACCAGUAAACUGAGACAGUUUUUGGGAAGAAGUAGCACUGGAGCUGAGGGGGACUUGUGCUGAAAUAGGAGAUACUGGAUAGGUGAGCAGGAGGCAACUUUUAUGUGCCAGUCUCGGUGCUGAGCAGAUAAACAGGAGGCUCAAAGGGGAAUAUUGUCCCUGAAGGAAGAAGGGAUUUAGGGACAGGGAGAAGGGAUGCAUGUUGGAAGGAAAAGGCUUCUUGGGGUCCAUGACAUGGAAAGGUGAAUAGUUCUGUUGUCUUGGUGUGGAGAAGACUCUUAAAAGAAAAUGAGAAGAGUGGCAGAAAAAUAUGAUGUAACCAAGACUAACACUAUCAAAGCAGCUUUUUAAACGCAUGUUACUUAUUAUUUCUGUCCUAUGCAGGAGCCCAGCAAAGAAUGAGUGAAAUCCCUGAAGACAGUCUGAGUAGUUGAGUCACACGUUUUGACAGAAGUUCAGGUCAGAGAUUGACUGUUCUGUUUCUGUAGGCCCUGCAGGAAGAUGAUUAUUGGCUGUUUUCCAGCAUAUUCAUGGCAAAAUAGCCUUUUCAACUAAAUGAAAUCAAGAGCUUUCUCCUCUCUCCCUGCUAGAAUACUUGUCCCAAGGAAGAGGAUAUAACUUCAAAGGAAAAUGAAAUGCAGAUACCAGAGCACGCUGUAUUUGUCACCUGUGGAAAAUCAGCCAGGGUAACAAACCAAUAACCAGAGACUGAAGCCAAGUAUCCCUAUCCCCUUUGGCUACAGCACAUAUAUAGACACUGCACACCCAAGUUAACUUCCGGAUAAAGGCAAUAUUGCUGCCUCUGCAUGGUGCUAUGCUUCAGGUAAUUAGCUUUUUUUUUUUUUUGCUAUGCUGCUUCCGGGGCCCAAGGGAUUAAGAUUAACAGGGGGGUACUCCAUACACUACACGCGGUGUAUAAAUUGUCACUUCCUCUCCCUUUGUCUGAAAGAGUCUGUCCUUCUGUUGCACAGGGUGUCUGAGCAGGUGAGAGGGCCCAUUCCUGUUAGUGGCUGGUUUGGGAACUUUCCAAAGAAAUAAGGAAGGGCAGUGCCCAUUUCUCCUAAUUUUGAAGGACAAAGGUGAGCAGCAGUCAACCACUUCCCAUGAAACUCUGACUGUCGACCAGACCACUGUCCUAGUGUCAUUUUUGCAAACAUGGCUGGACACCUCUGCUCUGUGUUGCAAUUUAAACUGUUUUCCUAGAUACUGGGGCUUUGGUGUGAAGAGGCAAAGGUGCCUUCCAGUAACUCUGAGUACAACAUGUGGGCCAUUGAGGACAGAGUUAAAAGCUGUGCCUGUCCUCAAGGUUGCCCUGUUUGCUGACUGGAGAGGCUCUCUACUCGGUGUCUGUCUCAGCAGCUCACAGGCAGGAUGCAAUUCCCCAUAGCCACCCCCUGUGCAGAGCCUGGUAGAAGAAGCCCAGCAUUGCAGGGCUGGGGACUGGCUUCUGAAACACCAGGCAUCCCUGCAGUGCCCAAUCUGAGUCACUUUCUGGAUGUAAACUUUUGCUCCUACUAAUGAGUAUAGACAAAAGACCUUCCUUCCAGGACUUAAGGGUAUCCAAAAGAUCCCAGGCUAUUUUUUAAGCAUUUGAGUGCUCUCAUCAAAACCAUGACAAAUUGCCAAACCAUUCUCAACGGUUCCCAAAUGUAAGUCUAGCCCCAGGUCUUAAAUCCUAUGGAAAAAAAGGCAUUUGUAUGGAGUUUAGCAUUUCCUGGGUCAGAAGUAUCCCAGAUUCUUUCUGCCUGUGGCCCUAGCUUCCAGAAGUUCAGAAAUGUGUGAAACUCAAAGCAAAUAUUAUUUUCCCCUGAUUUCCAUUUUGCUCUCCUUAGACAGUCAUGGCAUUUUUUUCUUGUAUCAGCUUGAAUUUAAUAGACAUUCAAGAAACAUUCAUUCUGUUGUUUUUCUUUUUUUUUUUUUCACUCUAACUUGCUUGCCAACACUCUAACAAUGCAAUAUGCACCUAGCUAAGAAACUUAGAUGAAUUACUAUACACUAGGAAGUACAUUUUUCAAAGGAGCGGGGGUGUUAGCUUCAGUUUUCUAGGCAAAUUCUCAUAUACGUAAUUACAUUCUGUCUACUGCAUUCCUCUGCCACCUCAAUUGCAUAUGGUGUUCUUCCUCAGUUUGUGCCCUGCAUUUUUGCUUGCAUUAUCAAGUACUAUUAAAUAUUUCUUGUUCACCAUCCCAGCAGUGACUUCAAUAUAGAGCCACUGGAAAAAUUGGUAGCAUAUUUUGUGGUGUUUACCAUCAAAAAUACUUGUCAGUCCAAAACUUUCAGAGUAAGAUGUGUUUUUAACCGUGACUAAGUAGUACAAUACUUGUGACAUAAGUCAGCAACACAAUUAGCUACAGUUGCUUUUAAAUGAGGAAUGUUUGAUGGUGACUUUGGUAUAUAGAAUCAUAGAAUCAUAGAGUAGUUUGGGCUGGAAAGGACCUUAAAGCUCAUCUAGUUCCAACCCCCUUGCCAUGGGCUCAGAGCCCUGUCCAACUUGGCCUUGAACAUGUCCAGGGAUGGGUCAUCCACAACUUCUCUGGGCAGCCUGUUCCAGGGCCUCAGCACCCUCCUGGUGAAGAAUGCAGCAAUUUAAGAGGAUUACUGUGGGUCAUCUGUACUGAUACCUUCAAACUGUGACCACUGUCUUACAAUGGAAGCUGACAAGUUAUGUUCGUGGGCGAAUUAGAGUGUGUCUCCUGUGAGCAGAGGAAGAAAAUGAUCAGGACCAUCCAGCUCACAGCAAAAAUCUGGAGAGGGGAGAUAAGAGCUGUUAUUUUGGUGUGUUCACAGUAGGUAUGAGCUGUUCACAGUGGUUGAAACAGCCCAGUACAUGACAGCUAUAAUAGCUAAUUCCAGGGAACUUUUCUACUACUCUGAUAAUCAGAGCAUUUAACAGCUCCCUGCCAGAAGUAAGUGUCUUUUAUACCCCACAUUUCGGCACAUUCAUUCAGUAAUGGCAGAACUGGGACCUGUGAAACUAGUGUUAGAAUGCUAAUUUUGGCUUUUCUUCAAUUUCACCAUAUUACAGAAAAAAAAGAAUCCCUUAAUUUGCAUGGUCCUUUUCUUGGAAACUCUCAGUCUUUAAUGCAUUCAGUGUAACAAACCAAUAUGACUGCUUCUUGCUUCAGCAAAAAUUAUGCCAGUUUCUUUGAUUUCACCCACCUAGAUCAUAACACCCUAGAAGCUAGCUCUUUGUGUCACAGGGGGGAAUGCCAGAGCUGGUGAUCAUGUAGAUGCUCUUGGGUCAAGACUACUGCUGUGCUGCCUUCCAGGACCACCUGCUGUCUGGCUACAGGGGAGCUGAGGUCAGUGCAGAUCUGGGGAAAGCCACCCUCCAAAACCUGAACUGUGAUAACUUAGUGACUAAACCACACCAAGUUCCUCACUUGGAGAAGGAGAAGAGUUUUUGUGGGAAGAGAAAAAAGCAAGGAAAGGCAAGAACAUUUUAUCUAAGAUCUGUAGUUAAUGGACAAACUGCCGAAUAUGCAAAGAAUUUACAGCCCAGAUGCAGGAAAUUCAGUUAAACAAGUGACCUGACACAGAUGCUGGAAAACUAUAAUUAUGAAUUAUCUGACCUUAUUCUGUGUGUUUUCUGUAGUGGAAAUUUCUUUGGUAUCUCUGAAAUGCAGUGGGCUGUUUUCUCUUGGUUGAGCAGCAAUGGCAUGACUGGGAAGCAGUGGAAAAGCUCACAUUGAAGAGAUAACUGUAACAUUUGUUUUUGUCUUUAUUCCCCUACCAGUCUUUGGGUUUGUUUAAUAGCUGGCUUAUUUUGUUUGAUACAUGAUGCUGUUAUAUGCCCAUACCAGGAAAGAAAGAGUGGCAGUCAUUGGCGAGCACUUCCAUAAUGGAGCUGGGUGACGGAGGAAGCUGAGGGUUCCUUUGGGGUAAAGAAAAGGACCCCAAGUCUGAACCAUCCAAACUUUUAAAAGGAUACAGAAUUUUGAUGGGUUUUGACUAAAAAAAUUUCAUUGCCUCGAAAUAUUAAAGUCUGCCGGCUAGCAGCUCAGCUGCCAGGUGGUGUAUACUUACAGAUACUACAGCCCUCCUGAUUGUUUUCCUUGCUGCUGCUUCUUUUUUCCUGAAGGAGAUACCAGAGCUCAUAUUGACAAUCUCUAUACACUAAUGGCUUCAGAAACCAAUCUGAGCAACAGUUUUUGAACUGUGAGACAGAAUAUUUUUCUUAAGUGCGUAUUCAAUUCAGAAAUAUUUAUGACUCUUUUUCUUAGUCUUUUUGAUUUACAAAUAUUAUCUAUUCUGCUACUUUGAAGUGAGCAGAACAGAUGUUCUGCUACCUGGAACAUUUUCAUGUACUUAGGGAAUGCAGGAAAAAACAAGGAAAAAAUAUCAGAAAGAAUUUUUUUUUAUGUUUUCUGGAGUUGCACCAUAAGUCUCACACAGCAAACAUACUGAGUUUGUAAAGUUGCUAAGCUUCAUCUAUAUGUCUCCAGUUUUUUAGUAUUCCUUGAACAAUGUUUGCACUAGUGGAUUUCACAAGUGUGUUGCUUCACAAUUGCUUCAUGUCUCGUAAAUCAAAUGUCUUUUCAGUUUCUCUUAGCUGGGAGUUGUGGAUUAUAGACAUGUCCUCUAACUACCAUUGUUUCUUGCUUGACAAAUGCCUGGAAAGUGGUACUAUUUGUUUUGUGAAAGAAGGUUAUUUCAAUCAAGAAGCCAAGGAACAGCUCUCACUUCUUGUUUUUUGCUUUGAGUGCUGCUGAGAAGAACAUUCACUUUUUUGGGGACCAAAAGUGUAAGUAUUGUGUCGCCCUUUUUACUGCUUAUUUUUUCCUGGUAGGCUCAGCCUAUUUUGGUUCAGUUGAAUGUUUAUAUGCAUACAGAUGGAAGCUGGCAAUCUCUCAUCAGAUUUGAAUUCAAGAAGGAGUAAGUCCUGUACUUUGCAGGUUUUUUGCUUUCCUUUCCAGAAGAAAUCUCAUAAAACAAGGUCUUCAGCCUCUCAUCACCCCCUGAAAGUCCCCAGGGCUGUGGAGCACACAGGCAGCAGACCAGGAGGUUCCUCAUUCUCUUGACAUUUCAUCAGGAGCGGAAAUGUCAAUAAAUGUGUGUAUGAAGCAGUAGAAUGAACAGUGGUUUAACAGAAAUACAUGAUGUAAAUCUAUGAAGACCCCAUUCCUACAAGGAGACAGUGGUGUUGUGAUCACCAGUGUGAUUAGCAGAAAGAAGCAUAAGGCUGUUGCCCCAGUGACAAAAUUAUAGCACUACUUGGCCAGCAGACAUGAAGGUUGUGUCAUUGCAUUGGGAGAGGAUACUGGGUUGUUGGCCAUCACUCACAGGGUGUUGGGAACAUCCCUGCCUUUGUUGUGGCUGUCAGCCUUGACACCAGACCUGGUGAGGGGACUUGAGGAAGUCGGAGAGUUAUGUGAGACGUUGAGGCUGGACCUCCAGAGGUGGCUGUACAGUUCCACUGGGAGAAGAGCCUCUACUCCAUGCUUCACCCUCUAAGAGUGCAUUCUGUGAUGGCUUGCCUUCUUUGUGCUUGCCUGGUGUGUGGCUGUUACUUAAGCUUGCUGAAGUGCUCUGUGUGUUUUUGUAGGAUCAUAGGAUAGUUUGGGUUGGAAGUGACCUUCAAAGGUCAUCUAGUCCAACUCCCCUGCAAUGAGCAGGGACAUCUUGAACUAGAUUAAGUUGGUCAGAGCCCCGUCCAGCCUGGCCUGGAAUGUCACCAGGGAUGGGGCAUCUACCACCUCUCUGGGCAACCUGUGCCAGUGUUUCACCAACCUCAUUGUAAAAAAGUUCUUCCUUGUAUCUAGUCUGAAUCUACCAUUUUUUAGUUUAAAACAUGUACCCCUUGUCCUAUCACAACAUGCCCUGAUAAAAAGUCUGUCCCCACCUUUCUUAUAGGCUCAUUGUAAGUACUGAAAGCCACAAGAAGGUCUCCUCAGACCCUCCUCCAGAUUGAACAAUCCCAACUCUCUCAGGCUGUUCUCAUAAGAGAGGUGUUCCAGACCUCUGACCAUCUUGGUGGCCUCCUCUGGCCCCUCUCCAACAGGCCCAUGUCGUUCCUGUACUGAGGAUCCCAGAGCUGGUUGCAGUACUCCAGGUAGGGGGUCUCAUCAGCGUGGAGUAGGGGGGCAGAAUCACCUCCCUCGAUGUGCUCACCCAGCUGCCCUUUGCUUGGCAACAAUGGACAUUUCCCCUUUUUACAACGAAGGGAAAGAUUAACUUGAAAUUUUGGAAAAAGAAAAGUAAUUAUUUCAUCUAAUAAAUAAAGGUCCUGUAGGUGACUGAGAGGUUCCCUUGCCAUGCCGACCUCCCUCCCUGCAGAGGAGGGAGGAGAAAGUGGAUUCAUGUGAUGAGUUUGGCUAAUACCAGAAAAGAAAAAUUCUCUGUGGUCUUCCAAAAAGAGAGAAGAAAGAAAAUCCCAUACCAUAAGGCAUUUCUUUUUUUUUUCUCCUGCAUUAUAAAGGAGAAUCUAGAUACAAUUUAAAUCUAAACCAAAUAGUGAUCUGAUUCUUAAUGUAAUUCAGCUCUUUGAACAGACAGGGAACUUUAUGCAACAUCGAUAGCUUGGUUAUUCUUCAGGCAUCAAUGGGCCUCUGUAGGGGUUUGGCCUGGACAUGCUCGAUUACCUCGUAUCCCAAGAGCCGCUGUUCCACUGACAUCUGGGUGAACACAAGUGUUUCAGAAGCAGUGGUCUGUCUGCACACACACGUGGCUACCUGGGUGCAGCUAUAUGGCCAUUGGCUCAGUGGUGACCCUGGAGCUCUGAAAUGCUGCUCUUGCAUUAGGCUCGGCUUUCAAGAGCUCAUUUAACUACCAGGUAUCACGGUACAUGGGAGAUGCAAAGCCAGGCCAUUCUGCUUGCAGGGAGGCUUACACAGGAGGUGUUAAGCACCAUUGCUAUAUGGGUUUUUCUCAAGGAGCCUUCUCCUGGCCCAACAAGCCUGCUGUAGGACAAUACCUCAAUUUAGUUGCACAAAGUUGCUCUUGUAUAGGCAGAUCAAGACCUUAGCCUCCUUGUGCUUUUCUGAGGUCUGUGCCAUUAGUUGCUUUCCAUCUCUCCUUUCACAGACAUUUAGAGACGUCUUGUAGUGCUGCUGUUUUUCCAAUAAAUUAUUCUCCUUUUAAAAAUAUACUUCACUGCAAUCUAAAAGCCAGAUGAGCCAAGGUUUUAUUAGAAUUACUGACUAUCAGAUGAGACGUGAUAAAGAGAAUUGACUUGAUAAUAGAAUGAUUUUUUUUUUUCUUUUUAAAAAGAUCAUUUUACAAGAUGGAGACUAGGGGUGGGGAGGGAGGGGAGAAUUAAGUUUAGGACUUAAUUCCUCCAUGCUCAACAGCCUCAUUUACAGGAAGAAUACAACAAAUCUCUUGUUUUUGCAGUACAAGGGCUUUAUACAGGUAAACAUGUUAAGAAUGUUGCCUGUAGUGUUUGCCCAGCUAGACCAUAAAGAAUUCCUGUGAGCAGGGGUAGCGAGAGCCAUUGCGCAGCCCUGCCGAGCUCUGCUGUCCUCCUGCCUCCAUCUGCCCCCAUGCCAGGGAGGGAGGCUGCUGGAGUCGUACUAUUUCUGUGAAGCCAUCCAGCACGUUUAUUCUGAGUACAGACACAGUGGUCUUCCAUUUUGCAAUUACAGAAACAAGGAUAUCCUGUUGAGCUUUUUCGCUUUCCUCCCUUCCCCGCUGCCACCGCUUGGUAUGACUGUAGGGAAUAUAAAUGGAACAGGAAAUUUGACCGCGUCCAGGAUCAAUGUCAUUAAAGACAGGUCUUGUUUUAAAAUCUAAUUUUAUAUAACUGCUCCGUUAUAUAAUAUGCUUUUGUUUGUCGUCUUGAUUUUUAUCGAGGUAGUGUACAUUCCCCUGGACCUUUUCAUGAAGGAAUGUUUAUACCUGUGGGCAAGCGCUAAUGGCAGUGAAAGGCUUGCAUUCAUGGGAACAGCAUUUAGCAAUUCAUGGUUGCCAAGAUGACUCAAACUAUUACAAUUGCCUGACGAAGUGACAAUUCAUGGAGUGUAACCGAGUAAUACAGGACCUGCUGGUUGUAAUAUGUCUUUUAUAUCGGGUGGAGUUCCUGCAGUUCCUGGAGUUGUUACAAAGGGGAGAUGCCUCCUGGAACCUUUUUGCAACAUGUUGAACAGGCUCGAAUCUGACAUUAGAACAUUUUCACUCAGAAUAGAGGCAAACUGUAAGCAGAGCUUUCUGUAUCUUCAGGUGUGCAGCACAUGCCUCACGUUUCAUGUAUAUAAGGUUGAAUAUGACUUCCAGUCACUGAGACCAGAAUGAGAAUAUUCUUUCAUGCUUCCUACUGGUAUUAUAUGGUCAACUUUAAGGAAGGCACGCUGGGAAAUAUUUGAAAGAUCCCUGGAGAAAGAGGCAGAAUGGCUCCUCAAACCUUCACGAGCCUUUGCUCCAAAGAAGCUCUAGCAACAAUUGUGCCGUUCUGGCAGGAAACAAGGAACAAUUUUUCUUUCUGUUCUUGAACCUUUUCUUCAGAAAAAGACAAGAACCUGGGAAAAUGAAAGGUCUCAGACUCUAGACCUCCUGUGGCCAGCACACAGCAGAGUUUUCUCUGCACACCACGAUCUGGGAUAUGCCACCAAGCAACACUUGCAGCCUUACGGGAAAAUGGAAAAUAUGCUACAAAUACAACAGUCUUUGUCAAGAAUUUCUGCUUUCCAGAGAGGUUUGACAAUCCUGCCUCAGCACCAGCUGGUGUGUGCCAGGCAGGCUGGCUGGGAAUAUUGGUGGAAACAUGGGCAAGGGCCAUGUCAAAUCUCUUCAGUCCUGUGCUUGGCCUUCUGGCAUCCCGUGUGGAAGUGAAGCGGUGUGGAGGCCUGAAGCAGUGAUUUCCCCUGGAGGUUCAAGUGCUGGGCAGCUGGUCUGUCAAAGUCCUGAAGUCAGCUUGUACAGAUUUGGCGGGUGCACUGACUAUUUUGGUGACCUCUUGGGCUUUCUUAGCAGUAUAAGGAAAUGAAGGAUCUGUUGCACAUACAGGAGAAAUCAUAUGCAUUUGUUCUAAACUUUCAAUCUGAGGCUAUUAACAUAGACACUUUGACCUCUAGAGGGAGAGCAGUAAGAAACAGAAGAGUGGUAUUUUUAUAUCACUUCACCCCCAGGAACCUCAGGCUCCACAACCUCAGGCUCCUUCUUGGUACAUCAUUCCCUCCACUUAAUAAAUUGUAUUUUUUUUUUAAUGUUGGGCAAUAUCAAAAUGCUGGGACAGCAAAAAAAGAAAAGCCUCAAACUAUUCCAAAAGCUGUUGUAGUCUUAAAAAACUGAGUACUAGACUAGAUAAUGUAGUGUGCUUGGUAGUUCCCUUUAGCUGUGAUAGACAUAUAUAGUUAUGUGCACACUGGCUGUCACUAGCAAUCGCGUUACCUCCAAAGCAAAAAAAAAUAAUCAUCCAUUUACUCAAAUCUGUUCUAAAUAAUGAUCCUGAACUAAUGAUAAUAAACCCAGUUCUACAGGCA
Long non-coding RNA from Columba livia (rock pigeon), 15954 nucleotides. RefSeq lists it as uncharacterized. Lineage: Eukaryota; Metazoa; Chordata; Aves; Columbiformes; Columbidae. The transcript is spliced from 10 exons. The record is from RefSeq and is a predicted model, not a curated record.